This is a long non-coding RNA of Solea senegalensis (Senegalese sole), 96 nucleotides long. RefSeq lists it as uncharacterized. Lineage: Eukaryota; Metazoa; Chordata; Actinopteri; Pleuronectiformes; Soleidae. The transcript is spliced from 2 exons. The record is from RefSeq and is a predicted model, not a curated record.
GAUUUAGAAAUUUCAUGAGUUCAGCAGUUGAUUUAUGAUUUCAUGAGUGUGGAUUUAUAAUUUCAUGAGUGUAGCUGUUGAUUUAUAAUUUCAUGA